Molecule: transfer RNA, 63 nt
Filed under: Dipodomys ordii (Ord's kangaroo rat)
Lineage: Eukaryota; Metazoa; Chordata; Mammalia; Rodentia; Heteromyidae
Rfam family: tRNA
About the family: Transfer RNA (tRNA) molecules are approximately 80 nucleotides in length. Their secondary structure includes four short double-helical elements and three loops (D, anti-codon, and T loops). Further hydrogen bonds mediate the characteristic L-shaped molecular structure. tRNAs have two regions of fundamental functional importance: the anti-codon, which is responsible for specific mRNA codon recognition, and the 3' end, to which the tRNAs corresponding amino acid is attached (by aminoacyl-tRNA synthetases). tRNAs cope with the degeneracy of the genetic code in two manners: having more than one tRNA (with a specific anti-codon) for a particular amino acid; and 'wobble' base-pairing, i.e. permitting non-standard base-pairing at the 3rd anti-codon position.
Source: Rfam by way of RNAcentral
GGGAAGUUGGCUCAGUGGUAGAGCGCUUGCCUGGCAUGCAUGAGCCCCUGGUUCAAUUUCUCA